UCAAAUGGUUACAUUCGAUAACUGAACGAAACGGUCAAACUUUUAUGAAUCCCAAUCAAAAUGCUAAAUUAUUACUCAACCGAACUAAAACAAUUCAACUUGCCAAAUCAAUUGAAUCAGUUAAAUAUAUAAAAUAAAUAAACUGAGAAUCUAUGUAUAAAUUCGAUUUUUGAUACAUGCAAUUGAGGAGUUUCAUUUAAAAGGUUGUACAGUUCAUACCCGUAUAGUUAUAUCCAAAUUACAUAUAAAUUCUCACCGAAAUAUGUAUUCUGUUAUAAAACUUUAGCAAAGUGUAGAAAGAUACUCUUAUAAUUGCAUAUAUUUAGAGAGAAUAAGUAAGAGAUAAAAAGAGAAACUAUUCAGAAAAGUUCUAAUUAUUUGAAGUCACGGGGAGAAGGAAAAGGUUCACGGGAGGAGGAGAAGGAGGGGGAGAGCACGGGUGAAACCCUCCUGAGGAGGGAAUCACUUUAUAACACUUCCCCUGAUUUUCUAUGAUAGAAGAUUAUGUCUCAUUAAAAACCUUGUUAAGAAAACCCAGUAGUGGAAAAAACUUAACGAAGGAAAAAAGAGUACAUAUCUUUUUACAUAAAUAUCUUAAUUGACUGUCUCGUUAAAACCUUGUCAGUCGACACAUUCCGAUCCUUUUCCGAAGUUUUGCAAACGUUGCAUUUGGUAGCGACUUUGUGAAUAAGUCGACUAGAUUCUCAGCCAUGGAAUUACCAUUCGCGGCACCUCGGGAAUUGCCGUGGAUAAUCUAGCCGACUUUAUUCACAAAAUCGCUACCAAAUGCAACGUUUGCAAAACUUCGAAAAAGGAUCGGAAUGUGUCGACUGAAAGACUUGUGACAACAUUUCAUCAAGAAGUAUUGAAUUCCUUUUGAGGGGAAGACUGUACUCUUUUUCCUUGGUCACGAUUUUUAUCCCAAUGAAUUUUUCCUGACAAGGUUUCAACGAGGCAGUCAAUUAAGAUAUUUAUGUAAAAAGAUGUACUCUUUUUCCCUUCGUUAAGUUUUUCCCAUUGGGUUUUAAUGAGACAUAAUCUUCUAUCGUAGGAAAUCAGGGAAAGUGUUAUAAAGUGAUUCCCUCCUCGGGAGGGUUUCACCCGUGCUCUCCCCCUCUCCUUCUUCUCCUCCUCCCGUGAACCUUUUCCUUCUC
RNAcentral lists this long non-coding RNA (1154 nucleotides) under Panax ginseng (ginseng). RNAcentral describes it as "long non-coding RNA (PGIN_LNC005482)". Lineage: Eukaryota; Viridiplantae; Streptophyta; Magnoliopsida; Apiales; Araliaceae. The record is from RNAcentral.